CGCAGUGCUGCACUCCGUGUAUUUGACAAGCUGAGUUUGACACUCAGUGUGGCAGAGUGUCAGUUUGUCAAAUACCCCAAGUGAGGC
This 87-nucleotide microRNA precursor is filed under the name Alligator mississippiensis (American alligator). RNAcentral's name for it is "microRNA ami-mir-223 precursor". Its record names the gene ami-mir-223. It matches the Rfam family "mir-223 microRNA precursor family", at positions 10 to 96 of the family's 106-position model. The record is from miRBase by way of RNAcentral. Lineage: Eukaryota; Metazoa; Chordata; Crocodylia; Alligatoridae. RNAcentral also lists the same sequence under 1 other name.